AAUUAAUGUUUCUUAUGAUAAGAGAGUGAAGCGGUCGUGUAUUUGUCGUUAAUUAAUAAUUAAAUUGGGCAAAAAUAGUGAGAAAAAGAAGUUAAACCGUAGAAUUCUUCGGUUUGGUGAGUCCUUGCAAUUGAAAGUCUUUGAUUCCCGAGUUGUAGCUGUAUUUUUAACUGCCUGUUGCAAAAGUUUCGCGGCACUAUAAAUAAUGUUUAAGCGUGCAUUCAAAGUUGUACUACGGCCAGUUGUAAAAAACAAUUUUGUUCUGUUACCCGAGAGCUAUUAUAAAGUGGUGUCCACAUAUGACAAUGGAUGUCUUCAGUUGCAGUACGAAGCACGAACGCACUAUGUAUCUUGGGCCCCGGAAGGCAGCAGUAAAGACAACGAAAUUGCUAUAAACGCAAGAGUUGCCAAAGAGAUUGGACUCAAUGAAAAUGAUUUUGUAAAAUGCACUUUAGUCGUGGAUGUUCCCAUUUUGCGAAAUGUCUUCCUUACACCCGUUUCGAAAAAGGAUUGGGAAAUAAUAGAGCUGAGUAGUGAACACAUCUCGGAUAGUGUUUUGGAGCAGACACGCAUUGUCAAUUCCAAUCAAAUUUUAAUAGUUUGGGUAAAUAAAUCCAUACAAGUAGCAUUGACGGUGGAUCGCUUGAAACCAAAUCUUACUUAUGGUAGAAUUGACCAUACAACACAAUUGAUUAUAUCGCCUGAUGUUAUCAGUAGUAACUCAAAUGGAGCAACUGAAAGUAUUCUGCGCAGUAAAACUGUCUCUAAUGUGCCCAAUGGCGAUCAACGGGGCGUUUUCGAACAGGGGCUGUCCAAAUCGUCGACCAGUAAACAAUUUAAAAAUAAUCAGAAUAUAGCCAAAUCUAGUCGGCACGACAAAAUGGAACGUUUGAAGAAAGACUUGUGCAGAGAAGCAAGUAAAUUUGUGGAGUUCAGAGUCAUAUCUGGGUCAUGGUCGGAUGACACACAAAUAUCGGACGUUUUCGUCAAUGAUAUUAACUGGCCGCCUAAUAUGGACCCAAUGUUAAUUUACUGUCUUCGUACCAUGGAGGAUCGUGAAUACUACGUUCGCAUAAACUUGAUUACUGCCGGCGAAUUUCUGACAACAAUUCACCCCACCAUAGAGAUAACUGCAAAUCUGAUGAAACUAUUAGAAUUGAAGGAAUUGGAAAAGGUGGUUCUCAAACCGAAGCCAAUGGUUGUCAAUUUUGUUGAGAAAAUUGAAUUGUUCGCCAACAAGAAAACGCAUUAUAAGGUAGUAGAAAACGCUUUUAAACGUUUUGUAAAAGAAAAAACAGAAGAAACGCCCCUUUUAUUGAACCAAAAUGAAGUUGUACGAUUAGAGGACGACCUCGUUGUAACGGUUGGCAUACUACCGGAACACUUUCAUUACUGCGCGGUCGAUUCACAAUUUCUAAAGGAAAGCAAAAUAUACGCUGCUGAUGUGGUGCGAAAUGUCGAUGACAUACUUUGCGUUAAACCCCCUGUUGAGACUCCGAUCUUUUCUAAAGAUGUUAUAAAGCUUCGUGAUUUCGAUUUAAAAGUUGAAGAUCUGAUAAGUGAGUUGAGAAGAAACCUUUGUUUAGAUUCUACAAAUUCUGUUUUGCGGCAGGCGAAUAUUCUUUUGACAGGUUCUUCGGGUGCUGGGAAGACUGUUCUGGUUGAGCGUAUACUUAAUGAGUUGGUUCGCAAACCAUACUUCUGUCAUUUUGAAAUAUUUAACUGUACACGUAGCAAAGGGCGAAAGGCCGAGUCUGUGCAAAAAGAUUUGCGUACAGUUUUUACUACAUGUAUUCAAAAAGCGCCUUCAAUUGUGGUUUUGGAAAACCUAGAUGUCCUGGCUCAUGCAUCAGGUGAUCAGGCAACACAAGACAACGAAUACUUCAAUAGAAUAGCCGAUGUUGUCCAUCAACUUGUCGUUCAAUAUACAACGUCUCAUCCAAUUGCUGCUAUAGCCACUGCCAACGAAGUGCAUUCUCUCAAUAAACGCGUAUACUCGCCACGAGGCCGGCACCUUUUUCAAACAAUUGUAAAUCUGCCGGGAUUAGAGAGGCAAGACCGGGAAGUGGUACUUAAGGAACUUUGUAGCCACAUUGAAACUGACAAACUGGAUUUUGAGCGGUACGCCCUUCUAACGGAGGGGUACAACAAAGGAGAUUUAGUGCAAUUUAUUGAAAGAGCAAUAUUCUACGCAUAUCGUUUAAGUAAAACCCGUCCGGUGCUCUCGAACGAACAUUUGAAAAAGUCUUUGGAAAACACUAAUUCCUAUUGCCUAAGAGGAAUAGAGAGUCAUCAAACCACCGACCAUACUUCUGAUGUGGGUGAUUCAUGCGAUGAAAAUAAUGUACACGGUUUAGAAUCGGUAACCUCCGUUCUUGAAGAAGUUCUCAUGUGGCCGUCAAGAUAUCCAAAAAUAUUUAACGAAUCGCCUCUGCGUAACCAAGCAGGUGUACUUCUCUACGGGCCGCCUGGUACCGGAAAGACGUUUUUAGUCUCAAAACUUGCUAAAAAGUGGAACCUUCGAACAAUAUCUGUUAAAGGUCCGGAAUUACUCGCAAAAUAUAUUGGACAAAGUGAGGAGAACGUUCGCAACUUAUUUAAUAGGGCACGGAGUGCGAAGCCAUGUCUUCUUUUCUUUGACGAAUUCGAUAGCUUAGCACCCAAACGUGGCCACGAUUCUACCGGCGUAACGGACCGCGUAGUGAAUCAGUUGCUGACCGAGCUUGAUGGUGUCGAAGGAUUACAAGGUGUUACUGUGAUUGCAGCAACAUCUCGGCCCGAAUUGUUGGAUCCGGCAUUACUUCGUUCCGGUCGUAUUGACCGAUUGGUUGAAUGUACACUUCCCGACUUUUCUGCCCGCGUAGCAAUUUUCGAAGCGUUAUCCACAACAUUAGCCCUUGAUGAGUCAGUGGAUUUCUCUUACUUCGCCGAGAGAUCGGAAAAUUAUACUGGUGCUGAUAUUCAGAGCGUCCUAACAUCUGCCAAUAUGAUUGCCGUAAAAGAAGCUCUUGAAAAGUUUGGACAAGAGUAUUGCGGAGUUAAUUGGCGAUUAUCUGAUUCUCAAAAUGUAUCCCAGAUUGAGAAGUCUGCCAUGGAUGACAGCAACGCAAUGACAUGUAGAAAAUGAUUGCCUCUGUUGGUUUUGGAUUUUAAACAAAAAAAGUGUGAAUGGGUUUGACGGAAAUAUCAACCUAAUCCGCAAAAGGUUGCGUGAUGCCACAUACGAUUUGGAACUUCCAGGAAAUAGAUCACUCAUCUAAGAACAUAUUUUCAAAUAAAAUGAGACAUAUAGUUUGCUUGCUGGAUAUAAAUCCUGACUGUUUAGUGAAAAUAUUUUCAUUCUGCAGCGAAAAGGAUCUACAAAACCUUUGUAAAGUACAUUGGAUGCUGAGGCAAGUGAUUGAAAAUAACAUCUUUAGCAUCAAAACGCUAGACUUACUUAUGUGUGGUCGUCGCAAUGACCCGAUCAUAAUGCAACGCACCCAGUAUGCACUAUCUUUUGGCAAACGUAUGGAAAUUUCUAAGAAUUGGUUAAAUGGCUGCUAUCGUGAGCAACAAUACUUUCACCGUACUAAAAUGUUUCCAACCAAACUCUUUCUUGAUAAAGAAUGGCUGUACUUGUCCUACGCUUGUUAUAUUAGCCAACAUAAGCGUUUAAAGAAUGAAGCAGUUCAAAGGAAGUAUUUUCAUGAGAUUUCGUCAAAAAACAACAACGACAUAUCAGAUUUUACCAAGAAACAUGAGUCCAUAUUUGCUGGCAGAGUAUCAGGAGGCUGUUUUAUAUACGAAGAUGAGUGCAUGACGGAACAACAGCUGCAUUGUCCCAAAGAAUACUUGUGGUGUGUUGACUUUGAAAGAAAUUUAUAUGUUACAAGUACUGAUCACUGUUCUAAAAUAUGGAGAAGAUCAGAGGAAAUGGGAUUGCUACAUCUGGAUUUAGUAUCAAACUUGAACGGCUCAUACAAAGCUCUGCAGUUCAGUAAUGAUGGGUUUCGUCUUUACGGUGGUCUUUACGCUUCAAUUAUAGAUCGCCGUGCACUGCAUGAAAUUGAUGUGGAAAGUGGGGCCGAAUCCAUCUUGAACUCCAAUACAAUUUCAAUUUAUGAUCUUAAAAUUAAAGAUGAAAAUGUGCUGUUUACCGCUAACUUCGACACUACCUUUCGAAUGUACGAUCGACGUUCGAACAAAGACGAGCAUAUAUGGGAAGAUCCGUUCGAUUCGUCGUUUUACUGUCUUGAAUACGAUGGCUUAUACGCAGUGUUAUGCGGGACUAAACAUCAUAGUCGAGUAAACCUAUAUGACAUACGUGUUCCAUCAAAACACAUGCAGUUAUAUUUCCCACAAUCCCGAGACAAACGCCGAAGAGAGUUUAGAUCAUCUCCUGUAUAUAGUAUAGCUUGUGAUAGUCGAUAUUUAUUUGUGGCCACAGAUCGCAGUGUGCAUGUAAUGGACUUUAAGGUGAACUGUGGCACAUGUAGAGACUACAGCAAUAUUAAUGUCUUUCGGCAAUAAUAAAUCAAAAAUAAAGUAUACUGGCACCGUUCAA
RNA transcript from Musca domestica (house fly), 4546 nucleotides. RefSeq lists it as uncharacterized. The transcript has 15 exons. The record is from RefSeq and is a predicted model, not a curated record. Lineage: Eukaryota; Metazoa; Arthropoda; Insecta; Diptera; Muscidae.